RNAcentral lists this non-coding RNA (959 nucleotides) under Pterapogon kauderni. RNAcentral's name for it is "12S rRNA". It matches the Rfam family "Bacterial small subunit ribosomal RNA". The record is from RNAcentral. Lineage: Eukaryota; Metazoa; Chordata; Actinopteri; Kurtiformes; Apogonidae.
CAAAGGCUUGGUCCUGACUUUAUUGUCAACUAUAGCUAAACUUACACAUGCAAGUAUCCGCACCCCCGUGAGAAUGCCCCACAGCUCCCUACCCGGGAGCAAGGAGCCGGUAUCAGGCACCUUCUUUCCCAAAACAAGCAGCCCACGACACCUUGCUCAGCCACACCCCCAAGGGAUUUCAGCAGUGAUAAACAUUAAGCCAUAAGCGAAAGCUUGACUUAGUUAAAGCUUAUAGGGCCGGUAAAACUCGUGCCAGCCACCGCGGUUAUACGAGAGACCCAAGUUGACAAUUACCGGCGUAAAGCGUGGUUAAUAAUUCUUCCCCCACUAAAGCCGAACAUCUACAAAGUUGUACAACACAUUCGAAGAUAAGAAGACCACCUACGAAAGUAGCUUUACAGUCUUGAAGCCACGGAAGCUAGGAAACAAACUGGGAUUAGAUACCCCACUAUGCCUAGCCCUAAACUUAGAUAGAAAUCCACCUAGUCUAUUCGCCCGGGAACUACGAGCACCAGCUUGAAACCCAAAGGACUUGGCGGCGCUUCAUACCCACCUAGAGGAGCCUGUUCUUGAACCGAUAACCCCCGUUUAACCUCACCUUCUCUUGUUCUCCCCGCCUAUAUACCGCCGUCGUCAGCCCACCCUGUGAAGGCCCAGUAGUGGGCAAAACUGGCACAGCCCAAAACGUCAGGCCGAGGUGUAGCGUAUGAGAAGGGAAGAAAUGGGCUACAAUUGCUUAAACAGCUAAAACGAAUUGCAAACGCUGAAAAUGCACACAUGAAGGAGGAUUUAGAAGUAAGGGGCAAGCAGAGUGUCCCCCUGAAGUGGCCCUGAAGCGUGCACACACCGCCCGUCACUCUCCCCAAGUUAGAAACAUACUUAGUAACUAAACAAUUUUACCUACGAAGAGGAGACAAGUCGUAACAUGGUAAGUGUACCGGAAGGUGUACUUGGAAAAA